GACGGGUGAGUAACACGUGGGCAACCUGCCUGUAAGACUGGGAUAACUUCGGGAAACCGAAGCUAAUACCGGAUAGGAUCUUCUCCUUCAUGGGAGAUGAUUGAAAGAUGGUUUCGGCUAUCACUUACAGAUGGGCCCGCGGUGCAUUAGCUAGUUGGUGAGGUAACGGCUCACCAAGGCAACGAUGCAUAGCCGACCUGAGAGGGUGAUCGGCCACACUGGGACUGAGACACGGCCCAGACUCCUACGGGAGGCAGCAGUAGGGAAUCUUCCGCAAUGGACGAAAGUCUGACGGAGCAACGCCGCGUGAGUGAUGAAGGCUUUCGGGUCGUAAAACUCUGUUGUUAGGGAAGAACAAGUACGAGAGUAACUGCUCGUACCUUGACGGUACCUAACCAGAAAGCCACGGCUAACUACGUGCCAGCAGCCGCGGUAAUACGUAGGUGGCAAGCGUUAUCCGGAAUUAUUGGGCGUAAAGCGCGCGCAGGCGGUUUCUUAAGUCUGAUGUGAAAGCCCACGGCUCAACCGUGGAGGGUCAUUGGAAACUGGGGAACUUGAGUGCA
RNAcentral lists this ribosomal RNA (563 nucleotides) under Bacillus sp. (in: firmicutes). Its description in RNAcentral is "bacterial SSU rRNA". It matches the Rfam family "Bacterial small subunit ribosomal RNA", at positions 100 to 650 of the family's 1533-position model. Lineage: Bacteria; Bacillati; Bacillota; Bacilli; Caryophanales; Bacillaceae. The record is from RNAcentral.